RNAcentral lists this ribosomal RNA (468 nucleotides) under uncultured bacterium. Its description in RNAcentral is "partial 16S ribosomal RNA". It matches the Rfam family "Bacterial small subunit ribosomal RNA", at positions 28 to 507 of the family's 1533-position model. The record is from RNAcentral.
GACGAACGCUGGCGGCGUGCUUAACGCAUGCAAGUCGAACGGAAAGGCCCUGCUUUUGUGGGGUGCUCGAGUGGCGAACGGGUGAGUAACACGUGAGUAACCUGCCCUUGACUUUGGGAUAACUUCAGGAAACUGGGGCUAAUACCGGAUAGGAGCUCCUGCUGCAUGGUGGGGGUUGGAAAGUUUCGGCGGUUGGGGAUGGACUCGCGGCUUAUCAGCUUGUUGGUGGGGUAGUGGCUUACCAAGGCUUUGACGGGUAGCCGGCCUGAGAGGGUGACCGGCCACAUUGGGACUGAGAUACGGCCCAGACUCCUACGGGAGGCAGCAGUGGGGAAUAUUGCACAAUGGGCGGAAGCCUGAUGCAGCAACGCCGCGUGCGGGAUGACGGUCUUCGGGUUGUAAACCGCUUUCGCCUGUGACGAAGCGUGAGUGACGGUAAUGGGUAAAGAAGCACCGGCUAACUACGUG